RNAcentral lists this ribosomal RNA (440 nucleotides) under uncultured bacterium. RNAcentral describes it as "partial 16S ribosomal RNA". It matches the Rfam family "Bacterial small subunit ribosomal RNA", at positions 338 to 795 of the family's 1533-position model. The record is from RNAcentral.
CCUACGGGCGGCAGCAGUAGGGAAUAUUGCUCAAUGGGGGAAACCCUGAAGCAGCAACGCCGCGUGGAGGAUGACGGUUUUAGGAUUGUAAACUCCUUUUGUUAGAGAAGAUUAUGACGGUACCUAACGAAUAAGCACCGGCUAACUCCGUGCCAGCAGCCGCGGUAAUACGGAGGGUGCAAGCGUUACUCGGAAUCACUGGGCGUAAAGAGUGCGUAGGCGGGGUAAUAAGUCAGAUGUGAAAUCCUGUAGCUUAACUACAGAACUGCAUUUGAAACUGUUACUCUGGAGUGUGGGAGAGGUAGGUGGAAUUCGUGGUGUAGGGGUGAAAUGCGUAGAGAUCAAGAGGAAUACUGAGUGCGAAGGCGACCUGCUGGAGCGUUACUGACGCUGAUGCACGAAAGCGUGGGGAGCAAACAGGAUUAGAUACCCGGGUAGUC